GUUUUGAGAUGGCCAAGGACUUGGUAGGUGACAGGGGAUGUCUUUCCAAUCACAAGGAAUGUGCUAAAGUUAACAGAGACUGCGAUCAAGCAGGAGAGGGCAAUGAAAACCUGUAAUUAUAAAAAUGUAUCAGGUAUGGCACCCCACACAUCAGAACAGCAGUAAAUACAUUAUCAAAGAAGGGUUUAUAAUAUCAGGUAUGGGACCCCACACAUCAGAACAGCAGUAAAUACAUUAUCAAAGAAGGGUUUAUAAUGUUACCAGCACUUGUGGUGUAUAUCUGAAGGCAAAUACAUUUUGCUGAGUCAAAAACUUAUCCAGAA
RNAcentral lists this long non-coding RNA (323 nucleotides) under Nicotiana benthamiana. RNAcentral's name for it is "long non-coding RNA (NBEN_LNC012626)". Lineage: Eukaryota; Viridiplantae; Streptophyta; Magnoliopsida; Solanales; Solanaceae. The record is from RNAcentral.